UGCGUAAUACGUACGUGGCAGCGUUGUGUAGUGGGCCGGAGGUAACGCUCGGACGGACGGCAGUUUCCUGCCAGGACGGUGUUCCAUGGAUCAGAAUCGAAGCCGCCGUCUGAUCCGUGGAUCGGGAAGUUUGCUUUUCCGUCUGGCCGCCCCAGAGUCGAAUUGAAUGGAGGGUCCAGCGUCGUGUCUUGCAAAGCGAGUGGCGUUUUGAAGGCGACGACGGGGAGAUAGAGGUCUGGAGCGGCGGCGGCGAUCCACCAUGGAGUUUUUGAUGCAACCAAUAGGCAGAUCUGCUCUGUUUGAGGAGGUAGGAGAGGGGUUGGUGCCUGCGCCUCUAGUUGCGGAUGACGGUGUGCCGGAGCAGGAGAGGCUGCCGGAACGGAGGCCACAGCGGGCAGAAGGGAUCUGACGUCCGAGGCUCUGAGCUCUCGACGGGGAAGAUGAAUCCCCAGGUACCCCGAUGGAAUAAGAGACUGAGGAUUGGUGCUGCUGCACCAAGCAGGACACCUUGCUCAACUCGAAUCAGUGUGUUUCAGAAGGCUGUUAGGAAUUUGAGAGAGGAUGGGAAAUGCUGCUGGACAAAUACAAGAUGAGAGCACAUCCUUACAUGACAGCCUUUUGAGAUUAGGCAGAAAUGCUGCUGGGCAUCUAAAUGAUCAGCUUGCUGCAACUUCAAGCAGAACUGGAUGUGAAAUAUGGAGAGAGAAUCCCGUGCAUCGGCAUUGAAUGUGCAGAUGGGUUUGGUUGAAGGGAUUAUUGACAUCUCUGACAGUGAACGCAACGAUGAAGUUAAUUUUGAAGAGUGGUCUGAUCCUGAGCAUGCUAAACUGGUUGAGACAGAUAGAAGGUUGAGAGAGCAAGAGGAGAAAGAUGCAGAGGUCGUGAAGAUGUAUCAGGAAAUGUAUGGCAAAAAUGAUGGGCACCAAGAAGUCUCAGGCACGGAUAAUGAUUCACUUGUUGAGAAGCACCGUAAGUUAAGGGAGCAAGAGGAAAAAGACACCAAGGUUGCAAUGAUGUAUCAAACACUGUAUGAUCAAAAUGCUACUGAAGCUCAGAUCACCAAUGUGCCAGCAAACAGAAUUCUUGCUCAGGCGGCAAAACCUGCAGGUCGGGAAAGAAGCCCCAUGGAGGGUGGGCGUAGAGGUAGGUUACUAAACAGAGUAGAGUAGAUAUUGAGCGUAUCAUGCCAUAGGGUUACAAUUUUUUCAAGUAGAAACAGUACCACAACUGUGAAAUAUGCUGACAGUGAUUAAGCUGCUCUUGCAAAUGUAGAUGCAGCUGUUCAGGUGAAUGAACAUGCCGGGGAGAGUUCAUACAUGGAAGAAAAUUUUAAAUUUGUGUUUUGAGAAUGCACUUUGAAUAUUUACUAACAACAACUUUGCUUUGCACGACGGGGGUGCGUUGGUGGUGCCUCCAGGGCAGGGAACAUGAAUUCCAUGAAGUGGUCUUGGAGGCGGAAAGGGAAGAAGUCGGAAACGGGAUCCAAGGGGCAGAGGAGAGUGAGGUUCUCGAACACUGUGGAGACGAUAUGCCCAUCGAAAUCCUGAGUGAAGACAGUUCUAGUGAUGAUGGAAUGCAGCAAGCGAAGAUGAUCACGAGCCUGCACAUCUACCUGGUAGCAACGUAGAUGGUUUGGAUACAUUGGUUGCAAAUGACAUCGUGGCGGCGAGGUCAAAGGAGGGUGGAAGAACCACCGUCAGCCAUGUCAGGAGUGCAGCACGCGGUGGAGUUGACGCUGCUCCGCACGGACAUGGGACUCACAAAGGCCCUGGGACCAGCCGAUAUCGGGAGUAGCCCAUGUGGGAGAAUUGAGCGUCGCGAGAGCGAACCUGGAUACACAUUUCAGUGGUUCAUCAGGUUAGUGCAAGCCUGGAUGGUCGACAGUCAUGCAUUUGUAGCAAAGAUGAUGUUGGAAAUGUUGAAGGUGCACAUAAUUUUCCAAAAAAUGAAUAAUUCGGCAUGGCGGGGAGGGUGGCAGUCCUCCGGUUAAGAUUCGGUGGUAUAGCCUUUGAUUAGUCGGCGCAUUUCAUCAGCAAUAUCAAUGUGAUGCUGAUAAGCACCUAAAAUUCCUGAUUAGGAUUAUGAUGAUUCUUUAUAGUUCUCUCAGCAAAAGAGUACAUUUCCCAUACUGUUGCUUCUGGGUUGAUCUGCUAGAAUAGUGGUAGCAAGCCAUCGCUUGAAUUCAUCAAAGGACUCAGUAACUUCUACGGCAUGCUUAGCAGAGAUAUGUGAUGUUGGUGCUGGGGGGUCUCCGGUGUGUUCUGAUGUAUGGCUACGUGUGGGUACGUCCUCAGCAGCCGUCUCCCCCAGUAAGGAAUAAGGACAGUAAGAUUGACCAGUCAUAGAAAGCAUGAAAAAUCUUGAAAAUGUAACUGUGACUCGUAGGACUGGUCAAAUAAAGAUUCCUGUGAAAUGUUUGGAAAAA
Molecule: RNA transcript, 2425 nt
Organism: Triticum aestivum (bread wheat)
Lineage: Eukaryota; Viridiplantae; Streptophyta; Magnoliopsida; Poales; Poaceae
Exons: 6
Source: RefSeq, a predicted model, not a curated record